This 840-nucleotide ribosomal RNA is filed under the name Diaporthe sp. Its description in RNAcentral is "eukaryotic LSU rRNA". It matches the Rfam family "Eukaryotic large subunit ribosomal RNA", at positions 69 to 941 of the family's 3401-position model. Lineage: Eukaryota; Fungi; Ascomycota; Sordariomycetes; Diaporthales; Diaporthaceae. The record is from RNAcentral.
CAGGGAUUGCCCUAGUAACGGCGAGUGAAGCGGCAACAGCUCAAAUUUGAAAUCUGGCCUCGGCCCGAGUUGUAAUUUGCAGAGGAUGCUUCUGGCGCGGUGCCUUCCGAGUUCCCUGGAACGGGACGCCACAGAGGGUGAGAGCCCCGUAUGGUCGGACACCAAGCCUGUGUGAAGCUCCUUCGACGAGUCGAGUAGUUUGGGAAUGCUGCUCUAAAUGGGAGGUAAAUCUCUUCUAAAGCUAAAUACCGGCCAGAGACCGAUAGCGCACAAGUAGAGUGAUCGAAAGAUGAAAAGCACCUUGAAAAGGGGGUUAAAUAGUACGUGAAAUUGUUGAAAGGGAAGCACUUGUGACCAGACUUGGGCCGGGCGGCUCAUCAGGGGUUCUCCCCUGUGCACUCCGCCCGGCACAGGCCAGCAUCGGUUCUCGUGGGGGGAUAAGACCGUCAGGAACGUAGCACCCUCCGGGGUGUGUUAUAGCCUGGCGGACGAUACCCCCGUGGGGACCGAGGUUCGCGCUCCGCAAGGAUGCUGGCGUAAUGGUCACCAGUGACCCGUCUUGAAACACGGACCAAGGAGUCGUCCAUUAGAGCGAGCGUUUGGGUGUAAAACCCGCACGCGUAAUGAAAGUGAACGCAGGUGAGAGCUUCGGCGCAUCAUCGACCGAUCCUGAUGUUCUCGGAAGGAUUUGAGUAAGAGUUUUAACGGACGGACCCGAAAGACAGUGAACUAUGCUUGUAUAGGGUGAAGCCAGAGGAAACUCUGGUGGAGGCUCGCAGCGGUUCUGACGUGCAAAUCGAUCGUCAAAUAUGAGCAUGGGGGCGAAAGACUAAUCGAACU